Molecule: ribosomal RNA, 526 nt
Filed under: uncultured Gammaproteobacteria bacterium
Lineage: Bacteria; Pseudomonadati; Pseudomonadota; Gammaproteobacteria
Description: SSU rRNA
Rfam family: Bacterial small subunit ribosomal RNA
Source: RNAcentral
CAGCUUGUUGGUGGGGUAAUGGCCUACCAAGGCGACAAUCCGUAGCUGGUCUGAGAGGACGACCAGCCACACCGGAACUGAGACACGGUCCGGACUCCUACGGGAGGCAGCAGUGGGGAAUAUUGGACAAUGGGGGAAACCCUGAUCCAGCGACGCCGCGUGUGUGAAGAAGGCCUGCGGGUUGUAAAGCACUUUUAGUGGGGACAAAAAGCUACGGAUUAAUACUCUGUGGUCUUGAUUUAACCCAAAGAAAAAGCACCGGCUAACUCUGUGCCAGCAGCCGCGGUAAUACAGAGGGUGCGAGCGUUAAUCGGAAUUACUGGGCGUAAAGCGCGCGUAGACGGUUUUGUAAGUCAGAUGUGAAAUCCCUGGGCUCAACCUGGGAACUGCAUUUGAGACUGCAUGGCUAGAGUAUGGAAGAGGGAAGUGGAAUUUCCGGUGUAGCGGUGAAAUGCGUAGAUAUCGGAAGGAACACCAGUGGCGAAAGCGACUUCCUGGUCCAAUACUGACGUUCAUGUGCGAAAGC